This 252-nucleotide long non-coding RNA is filed under the name Lathyrus oleraceus (garden pea). RNAcentral's name for it is "Pisum sativum (pea) long non-coding RNA (PSAT_LNC022742)". Lineage: Eukaryota; Viridiplantae; Streptophyta; Magnoliopsida; Fabales; Fabaceae. The record is from RNAcentral.
AAACACUUAACCUCAAUUGUUUUGCAGGUGGAUGUAGAAGAUCGAUGGGUUUGGAAUUUACAUCCCUCUUCUUGCUACACACUCAGUGCUUAUAAAAAUUUAUCUGAAGUUGACGAACAACAAUCGGGCUAAUUUCCAAAUUUUAUGGUUAAAGACGGUGCCGCUUAAGGUUUUUAUUUUUCUAUGGUGGUUGUUUUUUAUUCGUAUUCUGGCGAAGGACAAUUUGGCUAGACAACGGAUUCUUGCUAUAUG